GGGGGUAGAGCUCAGUAGUAGAGCGCGUGCUUGGUGUGCACAAGGUCCUGAGUUCAAUCACCAGUACCUCCA
This 72-nucleotide transfer RNA is filed under the name Camelus bactrianus (Bactrian camel). It matches the Rfam family "tRNA". Rfam says of the family: Transfer RNA (tRNA) molecules are approximately 80 nucleotides in length. Their secondary structure includes four short double-helical elements and three loops (D, anti-codon, and T loops). Further hydrogen bonds mediate the characteristic L-shaped molecular structure. tRNAs have two regions of fundamental functional importance: the anti-codon, which is responsible for specific mRNA codon recognition, and the 3' end, to which the tRNAs corresponding amino acid is attached (by aminoacyl-tRNA synthetases). tRNAs cope with the degeneracy of the genetic code in two manners: having more than one tRNA (with a specific anti-codon) for a particular amino acid; and 'wobble' base-pairing, i.e. permitting non-standard base-pairing at the 3rd anti-codon position. Lineage: Eukaryota; Metazoa; Chordata; Mammalia; Artiodactyla; Camelidae. RNAcentral also lists the same sequence under 1 other name. The record is from Rfam by way of RNAcentral.